RNAcentral lists this ribosomal RNA (433 nucleotides) under uncultured bacterium. Its description in RNAcentral is "partial 16S ribosomal RNA". It matches the Rfam family "Bacterial small subunit ribosomal RNA", at positions 29 to 507 of the family's 1533-position model. The record is from RNAcentral.
AACGAACGCUGGCGGCAGGCCUAACACAUGCAAGUCGAGCGCGCCCUUCGGGGUGAGCGGCGGACGGGUGAGUAACGCGUGGGAACGUGCCCUUUUCUACGGAAUAGCCUCGGGAAACUGAGGGUAAUACCGUAUACGCCCUUUGGGGGAAAGAUUUAUCGGAAAAGGAUCGGCCCGCGUUGGAUUAGGUAGUUGGUGGGGUAAUGGCCUACCAAGCCGACGAUCCAUAGCUGGUUUGAGAGGAUGAUCAGCCACACUGGGACUGAGACACGGCCCAGACUCCUACGGGAGGCAGCAGUGGGGAAUCUUAGACAAUGGGGGCAACCCUGAUCUAGCCAUGCCGCGUGAGUGAUGAAGGCCUUAGGGUUGUAAAGCUCUUUCAGCUGGGAAGAUAAUGACGGUACCAGCAGAAGAAGCCCCGGCUAACUCCGUG